GCUAUAUGGUGCAUGGGCUGCUGCCGUUGAUCUAUCUGACGUGGCUCAUCGGUGCCUGGGCCGCGGUGACGUUCGACUGGUCAAUAUGGAC
RNAcentral lists this transfer RNA (91 nucleotides) under Algimonas ampicilliniresistens. RNAcentral describes it as "tRNA-Pyl". Lineage: Bacteria; Pseudomonadati; Pseudomonadota; Alphaproteobacteria; Maricaulales; Robiginitomaculaceae. The record is from RNAcentral.